CAGUCGCCACGGGAAUACAGAGGGUGCAAGCGUUAAUCGGAAUUACUGGGCGUAAAGCGCGCGUAGGUGGUUUGUUAAGUUGGAUGUGAAAUCCCCGGGCUCAACCUGGGAACUGCAUCCAAAACUGGCAAGCUAGAGUAUGGUAGAGGGUGGUGGAAUUUCCUGUGUAGCGGUGAAAUGCGUAGAUAUAGGAAGGAACACCAGUGGCGAAGGCGACCACCUGGACUGAUACUGACACUGAGGUGCGAAAGCGUGGGGAGCAAACAGGAUUAGAUACCCGCGUAGUCCCUGUCUCUUAUAC
This 301-nucleotide ribosomal RNA is filed under the name uncultured bacterium. Its description in RNAcentral is "partial 16S ribosomal RNA". It matches the Rfam family "Bacterial small subunit ribosomal RNA", at positions 509 to 807 of the family's 1533-position model. The record is from RNAcentral.